RNAcentral lists this ribosomal RNA (411 nucleotides) under uncultured microorganism. RNAcentral describes it as "bacterial SSU rRNA". It matches the Rfam family "Archaeal small subunit ribosomal RNA", at positions 330 to 745 of the family's 1478-position model. The record is from RNAcentral.
GUGCAAGUCGCGAAACCUCCGCAAUACACGAAAGUGUGACGGGGCCAUCCCGAGUGCCGUCCGCUGAGGACGGCUUUUCCCUAGUGUACACAGCUGGGGGAAUAAGGAGAGGGCAAGCCUGGUGUCAGCCGCCGCGGUAAUACCAGCUCUCCGAGUGGUGGGGACGCUUAUUGGGCCUAAAGCAUCCGUAGCCGGCUGGGCAAGUCCUCCGUUAAAUCCAACGAUUCAAUCGUUGGGCUGCGGGGGAUACUGUCCAGCUUGGGGGCGGGAGAGGCCGACGGUAUUCCCGGGGUAGGGGUGAAAUCCUAUAAUCCCGGGAGGACCACCAGUGGCGAAGGCUGUCGGCUAGAACGCGCCCGACGGUGAGGGAUGAAAGCUGGGGGAGCGAACCGGAUUAGAUACCCCUGUAGU